GUCCACAUGGACCUUUGAGAAAGCAAGCGAGUGAAUAAUAGGACAAGAUGAUCAAUAUUAGAAACAGAUGUUGUGGAUGAGAGUCCUGCUGUGGCCGUUGUGGAGGUCACUGGAGGUUUUGGCUGUGGCUCUUAAUGUGCAGGAGGACACUCAGAGAAAUAUACGGUCAAGUGGUCAGAUCUGCAUUUCUUUUAUGAGUAUGCCCACAGGUGGUGUUUUUGAUUUACUUGGAUGCACUUUGAGCCAAACUUGUUGGAAAUCCCCAAAUUAUUAUUUGCUGCUAAUGAAUACGCUUGCUGUGUUGCAUCCAGACGCUCGGGCCAAGUAAGAGCUGUUUCGCUGGAGGACUGUGGCCGUGAGGGAUGUUUUGUGUGCUGUCCAGAGGCUGUAAAUACCAGCAGAGCAAGAGUGGUUUAUUUACUUUGGCUGAGACCUCAGCAGCUCAAACCCGAGACACAGAAAGAAGCUCUGAUAAUCCUACUUCUCUGGAACAUUUGUGUCUGUGACUGAGCUUUUGGUUUCUAGAUCCAGCCCUAGAGGAACAGAGAUAGAGAUGAGAAGUGAUAGCAUGAUGAAUCUGGACUGUCUCUCUCUGUCUCUCCGUCCUGAGGAGACGCAUGACUGACAGCAAAUUCACAGCUGUGAAUAGAGCUGAUUUAUAUGGUGGGGACAGAGUUUUACAGAGACCGUCAUCACACUUGUGUAUAUAAUCCAUCAAAGCGCUUCCCCCUUUAUGAAC
Molecule: long non-coding RNA, 739 nt
Organism: Ctenopharyngodon idella (grass carp)
Lineage: Eukaryota; Metazoa; Chordata; Actinopteri; Cypriniformes; Xenocyprididae
Exons: 3
Source: RefSeq, a predicted model, not a curated record